CCUAUUUNACUCCAAAAAUCUUUAUCCUACCCCCUUUUUCGUUAGCG
RNAcentral lists this transfer RNA (47 nucleotides) under Peplidium sp. Barker 7696. Its description in RNAcentral is "partial tRNA-Leu". The record is from RNAcentral. Lineage: Eukaryota; Viridiplantae; Streptophyta; Magnoliopsida; Lamiales; Phrymaceae.